Molecule: ribosomal RNA, 491 nt
Filed under: uncultured bacterium
Lineage: Bacteria
Description: bacterial SSU rRNA
Rfam family: Bacterial small subunit ribosomal RNA
Source: RNAcentral
GGGCGAAGCCUGAAGCAGCACGCCGCGUGAGGGAUGACGGCCUUCGGGUUGUAAACCUCUUUUUUCAGGGAAGAUAAUGACGGUACCUGGAGAAUAAGUCACGGCUAACUACGUGCCAGCAGCCGCGGUAAUACGUAGGUGACCAGCGUUGUCCGGAUUUACUGGGCGUAAAGAGCGCGCAGGCGGUCGUUCAAGUCGAGUGUGAAAGCCCCCGGCUCAACUGGGGAGGGUCACUCGAUACUGAUCGACUCGAAGGCAGGAGAGGGAAGCGGAAUUCCCGGUGUAGUGGUGAAAUGCGUAGAUAUCGGGAGGAACACCAGUGGCGAAGGCGGCUUCCUGGCCUGUUCUUGACGCUGAGGCGCGAAAGCUAGGGGAGCAAACGGGAUUAGAUACCCCGGUAGUCCUAGCCGUAAACGAUGGACACUAGGUGUUGGUGGUAUCAACCCCACCAGUGCCGUAGCUAACGCAUUAAGUGUCCCGCCUGGGGAGUA